UACGUAGGGGGGCAAGCGUUGUCCGGAUUUACUGGGCGUAAAGCGCGUGUAGGCGGCCACGCAGGUCCGUUGUGAAAACUAGAGGCUCAACCUCUAGACGUCGACGGAAACCGUGUGGCUAGAGUCCGGAAGAGGAGAGUGGAAUUCCUGGUGUAGCGGUGAAAUGCGCAGAUAUCAGGAAGAACACCAAUGGCGAAGGCAGCUCUCUGGGACGGUACUGACGCUGAGACGCGAAAGCGUGGGGAGCGAACAGGAUGAUGACCGUC
Molecule: ribosomal RNA, 266 nt
Filed under: uncultured bacterium
Lineage: Bacteria
Description: partial 16S ribosomal RNA
Rfam family: Bacterial small subunit ribosomal RNA
Source: RNAcentral